CAUACAGAGGAAGAAGGAGGGAGAGAAAGGAACGCAAAAGAAGAGGAGGAGUGACUAAGUAGAACUAGUUCAGAUGAAAUGCAAAAGCUCAAUUAUGCCACACAAAUUGGCCACUUGGAAGCAGGUCUCAAUCAGCAGGGAAAACAGUUGGAACAGGUUCUUCACAUCAUGGGACAUCCAGGAGAGACCACUGAUUCUGUGGGCAUGGGACAUCCAGAAGAGACCAAUGACCCUGUGAGCAUGGGGCAUCCAGAAGAGACCACUAACACAUUGCCAUGAGACUCUACAAUCACCCAUCUUCUUGAAACACAGAAAAUGGGUGACUGGAGUGUGGAAGGACCACAGUUGUGAGGUCCCCAAAACAGCCUCACGGCCAUGUGCCAUCCUGCCACUGUCCUUUGUCUACCGCUGAAAUCAAAGAUCAUGAGAACUUAAGUCGUAGGCCCUCCAUGGAGGCCUCUUUUCACAUUUCCCAGCUCCACCUCUAAGUCUUCUAAGUUUCAGUGAUUCUUUUUAUAUAAAGUUCCUCUGUUAACGAAACAAAAAAACCUGCGUAUGCAACACCUGGCUCACGUGAAAGUGCAGAUGAGACGACAAUAUUAGCAAUUUGUAUUUGAAGUCAAGGAAAUAUUAAUACAUUCUUAGCAAUGUUGAAAA
Long non-coding RNA from Anolis carolinensis (green anole), 657 nucleotides. RefSeq lists it as uncharacterized. Lineage: Eukaryota; Metazoa; Chordata; Lepidosauria; Squamata; Anolidae. The record is from RefSeq and is a predicted model, not a curated record. The transcript is spliced from 2 exons.